RNAcentral lists this long non-coding RNA (966 nucleotides) under Mus musculus (house mouse). Its description in RNAcentral is "long non-coding RNA chr8:25442804-25443770". The record is from RNAcentral. Lineage: Eukaryota; Metazoa; Chordata; Mammalia; Rodentia; Muridae.
AGGUAAGGUAGAGAAUCUCUCUCUACUCCUGCCACAAAGAAGUGGCGAUGCUCAAUACAUGGCUGGGGUGAAAGGGAAGUUGAGCUCUCUGUGAGGCAAAUGGAGGGCAAAGCCCAACACCACUACAGAGGCUGUGACAAGGGGCUUCUGGGCUCUGUGUUCCCAGAGAAAAGCCAGGCAUAGAAUCACGUUUGAAAAGAGGAUGAUGGCCGGGCGUGGUGGCGCACGCCUUUAAUCCCAGCACGUGGGAGGCAGAGGCAGGCAGAUUUCUGAGUUCGAGGCCAGCCUGGUCUACAAAGUGAGUUCCAGGACAGCCAGGGAUAUACAGAGAAACCCUGUCUCGAAAAAAACAAACAAACAAAACAAGAAAAGAAAGAAAGAGAGAGAGAGAGAAAGAAAGGAAGGAAGAAAGAAAGAGAGAAAGAAAGAAAAGAAGGAAAAGAGAGUGACGGGUUAAACACCAAGAGCCUUCUGGAGAAAGAUAAUGCACUCUCUCUGUCUGUCUCUCUGUCUCUGUCUCUCUCUUUCUUCAAAACAGGGUUUCUCUGUGUAGCUCUGGCUGUCCUGGAGCUCACUCUAUGGACCAACCUGCUCUUGAACUCAGAGAUCUCCCAGUCUCUGCCUCCAAAGUCCUGGGAUCAAAGGCAUGUGCUACCACCACCAGGCAAAUGUUCCCAUUCUUACUCUAGGUUGAGUGAUGCCUCUCCAAAAAACUCUAGCCCCUGUCCGUUACCCAGGAACAUUCAUUCAGAGAAGCAUCCAGGCAUUCAUUUAUGACUAGUGUACAUUUUAAAUAUGUCCAUUGUACAUUCAUAGAAACGUUUACUCUUCAAAACAAAAAAGGUUUCCCGGGAGACAGGAGGCCGGAGGAAGAUGCAGCGUUGAGAUUCUGUGAGCUGGGUAGGAUGAGCUAAGAGGGUGAGAGGAUCACAGCCUCACAAGGAGGAAGCCACCCACAAGCUCCAC